This is a long non-coding RNA of Toxorhynchites rutilus septentrionalis, 1200 nucleotides long. RefSeq lists it as uncharacterized. The transcript has 3 exons. NCBI's taxonomy places the organism in Eukaryota, Metazoa, Arthropoda, Insecta, Diptera, Culicidae. The record is from RefSeq and is a predicted model, not a curated record.
AGUAGGACUCCGGUUCACAUCAGCUCAGUGCGGUGGCAGAGCUCUGAAACGACGAAGUUAGCUCUAGUGAGCCGUAUCAUAAAUAUCGAUAAGCGAGACAGUUCUGGGUGAUAAUGUCCAUAGUUGCAUCAAUUAGUCGGUAGCGGGACAUUCCGGACAGUGACUGGCUGUAGCAAUUUCACAACCUAGUUCAUUAAAGAAACAUGCGACAGAAACUGAAGCGACUGAUAAAAAUGCAACUAUAAUAAUAAAACAUGACAUGAUUCUAGCCCUGACCAAUUUGCGAGUUCCACUAUUCCAUCCUGUCCGAGAAGAGAGAGGACGAAACAAGAGCAGCGAGUAAGCGCACAGAUUUCUGUUGCAUCGAUCGAAGUGGCAAAUUUACUGUCGACGGAGUGGCGGACAAGUUUCACUCGGCACUUGGUCCAGUAGGAGACGAACGGUGAUACACCGUGGACUCACUGACUGACUGACUGCUGCCUGGACAUUAUAAUGGCGAGCUGCAUUGAUCGGAAAUGGGAUUCUGAUGAGUUAAUCAAAGGUCAAUUUAAAUUAAUGACUGCCUGUUUUUGGGUGCGAGGCAUCAAACGAAUCGGGACGAACCAGCGAACUGGAAAAUAAAAAGUUUGCAGUUUUGCAAGGAUACAGCAACAUGCAUUACGUCAUCUACGAUUCAUUUGUACAGGAAAACAUGAGUAAAAAAAGUGGUUCUGCUCCCGUUUGCAUUCAAGUUCUACCGGAUGCCGAUUCUUACCAAGGUAUUUAUAAAUAUUCCAGUUUGCCGCUGAGAUUCAGCUGGAAAUCUAUGUGGCAACAACCAUCCAUCUCGAUUAAACGUGAGAGCUGACUCAAUCUCACGAAGAAUGCUAUCAUUUCCGCCAGUUUUGCGUUGGAAUUUAUUUGUUGAAAACAGUGUUGUAAACGGUCACCAUUUUUGUGACAGGACAGUAUGUGCUCCUUGCCCGAAAGUUACGGCUCAAUAUGUACUGUGAACGUUAUCAAGAAUGUAUUGAUCGUACAGUCACAUCAGAAAUAAAUGUACAGCCGCAAACACGACCUUCAGAAAGCGAUGAAAAUAUGCUAUAUGGAUGCAAACUGCUCUCGGAAGCAGUUUUAACUUGUUGAAAUUUCUAUGAAAAUUUAUACUCAAUGUCAUUUGCGUAAUUGAAACUCGUACUACUGCCUCUUACUUAACUUACU